RNAcentral lists this ribosomal RNA (341 nucleotides) under uncultured Parabacteroides sp. RNAcentral's name for it is "bacterial SSU rRNA". It matches the Rfam family "Bacterial small subunit ribosomal RNA", at positions 355 to 692 of the family's 1533-position model. Lineage: Bacteria; Pseudomonadati; Bacteroidota; Bacteroidia; Bacteroidales; Tannerellaceae. The record is from RNAcentral.
GGAGGAAUAUUGGCCAAUGGGGCGAGAGCCUGAACCAGCCAAGUCGCGUGAGGGACGAAGGCCCUACGGGUUGUAAACCUCUUUUAUAAGGGAAUAAAGGACAUCACGUGUGGUGUUUUGCAUGUACCUUAUGAAUAAGCAUCGGCUAACUCCGUGCCAGCAGCCGCGGUAAUACGGAGGAUGCGAGCGUUAUCCGGAUUCAUUGGGUUUAAAGGGUGCGUAGGUGGCUUGUUAAGUCAGCGGUGAAAGUCAGUGGCUCAACCAUUGAAUUGCCGUUGAAACUGGCGAGCUUGAGUACGUACGGGGCAGGCGGAAUGCGUGGUGUAGCGGUGAAAUGCAUA